Non-coding RNA from Geopyxis carbonaria, 96 nucleotides. NCBI's taxonomy places the organism in Eukaryota, Fungi, Ascomycota, Pezizomycetes, Pezizales, Tarzettaceae. The record is from the annotation of a GenBank genome assembly.
GCCUUGCUAGCUCAAUUGGCUAGAGCGUGAGACUUUUAGGAGACAUCGUUCUUCUGAGACAUCUCAAGGUUGCGGGUUCGACCCCCGCGUGAGGCU